CCUACGGGUGGCAGCAGUGAGGAAUAUUGGUCAAUGGCCGGAAGGCUGAACCAGCCAAGCCGCGUGAAGGACGCAGGUGCCAAGCAUUGUACAAUUCUUUUGUCAAGGGACAAAAUCAGGCUCGAGAGCCUGACCGAGGGUACUUGCAGAAAAAGCAUCGGCUAACUCCGUGCCAGCAGACGCGGUAAUACGGAGGAUGCGAGCGUUCUCCGGAUUUAUUGGGUUUAAAGGGUGCGUAGGCGGACUGUUAAGUCAUCGGUAAAAGCCCGGGGCUCAACACCGGCGAGCCGUUGAGCCUGGCUGUCUUGAGAUGUCGAGAGGUAUGCGGAAUGCGCAGUGUAGCGGUGAAAUGCUUAGAUAUAACUUAGAACUCCGAUAGCGAAGGCAGCUUACCAGACUGCGACUGACGCUGAAGCACGAGAGCGUGGGUAGCGAACAGGAUUAGAUACCCUUGUAGUC
Molecule: ribosomal RNA, 459 nt
Filed under: uncultured bacterium
Lineage: Bacteria
Description: partial 16S ribosomal RNA
Rfam family: Bacterial small subunit ribosomal RNA
Source: RNAcentral